Long non-coding RNA from Ornithodoros turicata, 2744 nucleotides. RefSeq lists it as uncharacterized. The transcript has 5 exons. The record is from RefSeq and is a predicted model, not a curated record. NCBI's taxonomy places the organism in Eukaryota, Metazoa, Arthropoda, Arachnida, Ixodida, Argasidae.
UGUCAACGCGUGUUCCGUUCCUCUCUUCAUUCCUUGUCUUGUGGUGCGCUGUUUUUUCCUUCUUCUUCUUCCCAAGUUCAGCAUAUACCAACUAUCCCAAAUGAAUAUGCUAGUGAAAAUUGUGAGGAAGAAUGUGCAACGUUGGACAUAAGAAGUGGGCAGAUUCUGUUGAGGGACGCCGGUGGGUGGCUUCAGGCUUCCGUGAGCUAUGAGUCGGCAAUAAUGCGUUGAGUCGAGAAGAUGCUUCUAAAGGAGAUCGGGAGUUCAGUUGGAGCCUUCCGAGAGAGAACCCCGGAAAUCAUCGGUUGCGCACGAAACUUUCCACUCUGACCGAUUGCGUCAAUCCUAACGAGGAGCCGGUGUCGCCGAUCGAGUGAUGAUGAUGGUGGCAACCGGUUGGUACCUCGAGGCUCUGCAUCGCUUUCUCAGCCAUUGAACUCGCCCCCGGCAAGGCAUCGAAGCAUCAUCGAUACGUGAGAGGGUAUCACUUUCUCAUGCCGUUCCGUUAACUGGUUGCGGCUGGACGCCCUUGCUCUUGAAACGGCCCAAGGAGAACUCUGCUUCCUGGACGGAGUUGAACGUCCCAGGGACGACGUGCGGUGUCAACGGCAGCCAGUGUCUUCCCGGAACAAGCAUGACCCACUCUUUUUCCGAUCGCCUUUCUCUCAAACGCUUCGUAGCUGCUCCUGCUGCAGCCAGCGCACGAGGCGCUUGCAGUAUAUGUUCCAGGCAACAGCCCUACCUACUGCUUGCACUUCGGCGAAAAAAAAAAAAAAAGAUGUUCAUCUUCUUCAUCAGCAAAUUAACGGAAGCGUAACUGAAACCCUAGUAUCGCCCACUCUUGUUAAUGGGACAGCCUGUUGUGCUGCACACUGAUUGUUAAAAAAAAUGAGCAUGGUAGUCAUGGUACACUUCCCACGCUCUUAAACAGAACUUCACCACAAGACAACAUAAUACGUUGAAGGAAAACCAUAUGACAACAUUAUCGCGGUCCCGAUUUGUGGAAAAGCGCUGGGCAUACGCCUUUUUGUGGCAGUUAUAUACCCUAACUGCAAAAGUAUCGCGAGAAGGCUUUGCGCCUCCCGUUUUCAUCAAAUCAGGGGAAAGAACCACGUGUUUCGGGCUGAUGGCUGGCUAGUAGCGUCUCAUGCCGUGAAGUUCUGUGAAGUUCAUGCCAUGAAGUCCACCAUGACGUCCACCAUAUCCAUAAUGACUAUGCGUUCCCCAAUCGCACACGACACAUGCAAUCAUUUUCUGUAAUGUAGAAAGAAAUCUUCUUCGGUGGACUAUGAGGUCAGGUUGGAUACUUUCUUUCCUGACAAACGUGAGGAACAUCCAGCGACCCUAAGGACCAGCUUCGUGCAUAUAGGCCCUCGGGAGUCUUGAACACGUUGAUGAACCUUUUGGACCAUGGUCCUUCUUGUACGGGAUUCUGCCGGACCAAGUGUAAACUGCACAAGAGAACUGCUUCCGUCCUCCAUACCGGUGCAAAUGUAAAUAAACUUAUCAGGGAAUGAAGCCCUGGCAGGAAACGGCAGUCGUCCCUCAUCAGAAGACAGAGCAGGAAAAAGUCAGUGCGGGCUAGGUCUUGAGGAGGGUGGUCGGCAACUUAUGCUGUCUUCAGCUUUCUCCGGGACGGCAGAGAAUUUCCAUGCCCAGCCUUCUUGCUUGUCUCGGGGUCCCAGAGCUAAAUCCACGUUUAAUUCACCGUUACCAGGACCUUCUGACCCUGGUGUCAGCAGUAUCGGUACAGAAAGGCCUUCGACUUUCCCAAACGUUCGACACAUGACGAAUGACCCAGUAGUCAUACCAAGUCCUGCAGCAACCUGAAGCACAGUCACACGCCUGAUGCCCAUAGCUACGUCUUCCACUUUGCGUACAUUCUUUUUAUUUGGCUCGAACAUAGCACCUCACCGAGUUCAACGCAGUGCAGUACAAAAUUGAAUGGGAGCAGGCUUCUGUGUGACACAUAUUUAUGACAUGGGAGCAUAAUGCAAUACGUAUGCAACGUUGCAAUACUGUCACAGCAUUGCAUUAUACUCAGAGCCCGAAGUUCCGCACGUAAACCGUUAUAUCGAACGUCUACCCUCCUACAACGUAGCUUAUAACACGAUGGCAGGAGCGCUAUUUUCAGAACGCCGUCUAGUUCAGCUUUUACAAAUUCUUGAAUAGGACUGCAGCCAAUAUGACCUUAUGGAUCAUACUGACGUAAUAUUUCAUUAUUAAAGAGGGGUACCCUCGUUGUAUGAGCAAAGGAAAACCACUAAGAAAGUGACUGCCUAUAGCGACCACCCAAGAUUGCGCGGAACCCUUUCUUGAACGAGCAUGGAUGUUGCAGCAAUCCCUCAGGAACCCCUGAAGACAUUGGAAACCUGUUCUGUAAUUCACUGCAGGUCAACGACACGUAUUAACCUUGACAAAUGCUUCAGUAAAUUGCACGAAGGGUUUGCCUCUCGGCACAGCCGCUCUCACGUGCACUGCUGAUAGAUGUGUGUACUUCUGUACAGCAACAGUGCAGUAGUUAAUUGCCUCCAUGCCGCAAAGGCCCCUAUCUUCUCAGUGGCCGACUACGGCGAUAGGAACUUUCGUUUUACCCUGCGAGAAAGGAACAGCCUCUUUGAAGAGCGGCCGAAACAGGGAGGAGCAUAGAGGAACUUACUCUCCAACUGGGAACUUUGCCUUGCGCCUUUAGCGUACCUUAUAUUGGGACUGUACGCUUUGUGAAAGAUAGCCCCAAAAUAUAC